CAGACCUUGUAAAAGAGAUUUACCUUCACUGUUUGGUUAUUCAAGUUUGUCCCUAUUGUUGUUUAGAGGUUUUGAAUUCUUGCUUCUCGCCGGAAAUUUUUCCGGCAACUCCUGCUAUUUUCUUUCUAUUCUCUCCUCUGCUUUUUUGUGGGUGUGUGUGGGUGUGUUCUGUUUUCUUGGACAGGUGACUAUUUUACCGUCUGCUUUUUUGUGGGUGUGUGUGGGUGUUACUGUUUUCUUGGACAGGUGACUAUUUUACCGGCGAGGAUUUCUGGCAAGCCACAGUACUCCCGGUGACUCCCGUCCAGACUCGCGGCAGGACGCAAUAGAACUACACGAAGCUUCAGGAAAACUUGGGCGCAUCAAAG
This 368-nucleotide long non-coding RNA is filed under the name Nicotiana benthamiana. RNAcentral describes it as "long non-coding RNA (NBEN_LNC007697)". The record is from RNAcentral. Lineage: Eukaryota; Viridiplantae; Streptophyta; Magnoliopsida; Solanales; Solanaceae.